GACGAACGCUGGCGGCGUGCCUAAUACAUGCAAGUAGAACGCUGAAGGAGGAGCUUGCUUCUCUGGAUGAGUUGCGAACGGGUGAGUAACGCGUAGGUAACCUGCCUGGUAGCGGGGGAUAACUAUUGGAAACGAUAGCUAAUACCGCAUAAGAGUAGAUGUUGCAUGACAUUUGCUUAAAAGGUGCAAUUGCAUCACUACCAGAUGGACCUGCGUUGUAUUAGCUAGUUGGUGGGGUAACGGCUCACCAAGGCAACGAUACAUAGCCGACCUGAGAGGGUGAUCGGCCACACUGGGACUGAGACACGGCCCAGACUCCUACGGGAGGCAGCAGUAGGGAAUCUUCGGCAAUGGACGGAAGUCUGACCGAGCAACGCCGCGUGAGUGAAGAAGGUUUUCGGAUCGUAAAGCUCUGUUGUAAGAGAAGAACGAGUGUGAGAGUGGAAAGUUCACACUGUGACGGUAUCUUACCAGAAAGGGACGGCUAACUACGUG
RNAcentral lists this ribosomal RNA (495 nucleotides) under uncultured bacterium. RNAcentral describes it as "partial 16S ribosomal RNA". It matches the Rfam family "Bacterial small subunit ribosomal RNA", at positions 28 to 507 of the family's 1533-position model. The record is from RNAcentral.